Molecule: ribosomal RNA, 426 nt
Filed under: uncultured Actinomycetales bacterium
Lineage: Bacteria; Bacillati; Actinomycetota; Actinomycetes; Actinomycetales
Description: bacterial SSU rRNA
Rfam family: Bacterial small subunit ribosomal RNA
Source: RNAcentral
GGGGAAUAUUGCGCAAUGGGCGAAAGCCUGACGCAGCGACGCCGCGUGAGGGAUGAAGGUUUUCGGAUCGUAAACCUCUGUCAGAAGGGAAGAAACCGCACCGUGCUAAUCAGCGGUGCCUUGACGGUACCUUCAAAGGAAGCACCGGCUAACUACGUGCCAGCAGCCGCGGUAAUACGUAGGGCGCAAGCGUUGUCCGGAAUUAUUGGGCGUAAAGAGCUCGUAGGCGGUUAGUCGCGUCUGCUGUGAAAACUCGAGGCUCAACCUCGGGCUUGCAGUGGGUACGGGCUGACUAGAGUGCGGUAGGGGUGACUGGAAUUCCUGGUGUAGCGGUGGAAUGCGCAGAUAUCAGGAGGAACACCGAUGGCGAAGGCAGGUCACUGGGCCGCAACUGACGCUGAGGAGCGAAAGCAUGGGGAGCGAACA